RNAcentral lists this ribosomal RNA (253 nucleotides) under uncultured bacterium. RNAcentral's name for it is "partial 16S ribosomal RNA". It matches the Rfam family "Bacterial small subunit ribosomal RNA", at positions 524 to 776 of the family's 1533-position model. The record is from RNAcentral.
UACGGGGGGGGCAAGCGUUGUUCGGAAUUACUGGGCGUAAAGGGCUCGUAGGCGGCCAACUAAGUCGGACGUGAAAUCCCUCGGCUUAACCGGGGAACUGCGUCCGAUACUGGAUGGCUCGAGUGUGGGAGAGGGAUGCGGAAUUCCAGGUGUAGCGGUGAAAUGCGUAGAUAUCUGGAGGAACACCGGUGGCGAAGGCGGCAUCCUGGACCACGACUGACGCUGAAUAGCGAAAGCCAGGGGAGCAAACAGG